Molecule: transfer RNA, 63 nt
Filed under: Paralepas cf. quadrata
Lineage: Eukaryota; Metazoa; Arthropoda; Thecostraca; Heteralepadidae
Description: tRNA-Cys
Source: RNAcentral
GGCAGAAUAAUUUAUAAAAAAUAUUAUCUUGCAAGGAUAAAUUUGGUCUUUGAUCUUUUGCCU